RNAcentral lists this ribosomal RNA (306 nucleotides) under uncultured eukaryote. RNAcentral's name for it is "partial 18S ribosomal RNA". It matches the Rfam family "Eukaryotic small subunit ribosomal RNA", at positions 1470 to 1796 of the family's 1831-position model. The record is from RNAcentral.
CCCUUAGAUGUUCUGGGCUGCACGCGUGCUACACUGAUAUUGCCAAUAUGUCAUUCUUAUCCGAAAUGGAUUGGGUAAUCAAGUAAUGAAAUUUCAUGCUUGGAAUCGGUAAUUGCAAUUUUAUCGUGAACGAGGAAUUCCUAGUAAGCGCGAGUCAUCAACUCGCGUUGAUUACGUCCCUGCCCUUUGUACACACCGCCCGUCGCUACUACCGAUUGAAUGGCUUAGUGAGGCCUCAGGAUCCGCGCUUAAUGUGUGGAGAAUUUGGACAAACUACGUCAUUUAGAGGAAGUAAAAGUCGUAACA